RNAcentral lists this small nuclear RNA (109 nucleotides) under Neogobius melanostomus (round goby). Lineage: Eukaryota; Metazoa; Chordata; Actinopteri; Gobiiformes; Gobiidae. The record is from RNAcentral.
GUGUUUAGUUCGCUAACACAUAUAUAAAAAUUGGAACGAUACAGAGAAGAUUAGAUGGCCCGCUGCGGCAAGGUAUGACACGCAAAUUCGUGAAGCGUUCCUCAUUUUG